GCGCAGCAGUCGAGAAUACUUUACAAUGUGCGAAAGCACGAUAAGGGAACUCUGAGUGCCUCCUAAGGAGGCUGUUCAGGUGUCUAAAAGCACCUGGAGUAAGGGCUGGGUAAGACCGGUGCCAGCCGCCGCGGUAACACCGGCAGCCCAGGUGGUAGCCACUUUUAUUGGGUCUAAAGCGUCCGUAGCCGGUUGAGUAAGUUCCUUGGGAAAUUUGGCUGCUCAACAGUCAAGCUUCCAGGGAAUACUGCUCGACUUGGGACUGGGAGAGGUCAGAGGUACUCCAGGGGUAGGGGUGAAAAUCCAUUAAUCCCUGGGGGACCACCGGUAGCGAAGGCGUCUGACCAGACCAGGUCCGACGGUGAGGGACGAAGGCUAGGGUCGCGAACCGGAUUAGAUACCCGUGUAGU
Molecule: ribosomal RNA, 410 nt
Filed under: uncultured microorganism
Description: bacterial SSU rRNA
Rfam family: Archaeal small subunit ribosomal RNA
Source: RNAcentral